RNAcentral lists this non-coding RNA (502 nucleotides) under uncultured Glomus. RNAcentral describes it as "SSU rRNA". It matches the Rfam family "Eukaryotic small subunit ribosomal RNA", at positions 591 to 1092 of the family's 1831-position model. Lineage: Eukaryota; Fungi; Glomeromycota; Glomeromycetes; Glomerales; Glomeraceae. RNAcentral also lists the same sequence under 2 other names. The record is from RNAcentral.
CCAAUAGCGUAUAUUAAAGUUGUUGCAGUUAAAAAGCUCGUAGUUGAACUUCGGGGUUCACCCAUUGGUCAGGCUUAAUUGUCUGUACUGGUGAGAUGAGUCUCUACCUUCUGAGGAACUUUCAUGCCAUUUAUUUGGUGUGGUUGGAAAUCAGGACUGUUACUUUGAAAAAAUUAGAGUGUUUAAAGCAGGCUAACGUCUGAAUACAUUAGCAUGGAAUAAUGAAAUAGGACGGAUUGAUUCUAUUUCGUUGGUUUCUAGGGUCACCGUAAUGAUUAAUAGGGAUAGUUGGGGGCAUUAGUAUUCAAUUGUCAGAGGUGAAAUUCUUGGAUUUAUUGAAGACUAACUACUGCGAAAGCAUUUGCCAAGGAUGUUUUCAUUAAUCAAGAACGAAAGUUAGGGGAUCGAAGACGAUCAGAUACCGUCGUAGUCUUAACCAUAAACUAUGCCGACUAGGGAUCGGACGCAGUUAAUUUUAUAAUGACGUGUUCGGCACCUUACG